This 435-nucleotide ribosomal RNA is filed under the name uncultured Flavobacterium sp. Its description in RNAcentral is "bacterial SSU rRNA". It matches the Rfam family "Bacterial small subunit ribosomal RNA", at positions 358 to 790 of the family's 1533-position model. The record is from RNAcentral. Lineage: Bacteria; Pseudomonadati; Bacteroidota; Flavobacteriia; Flavobacteriales; Flavobacteriaceae.
GGAAUAUUGGACAAUGGGCGCAAGCCUGAUCCAGCCAUGCCGCGUGCAGGAUGACGGUCCUAUGGAUUGUAAACUGCUUUUGUACAGGAAGAAACACUCCGACGUGUCGGAGCUUGACGGUACUGUAAGAAUAAGGAUCGGCUAACUCCGUGCCAGCAGCCGCGGUAAUACGGAGGAUCCAAGCGUUAUCCGGAAUCAUUGGGUUUAAAGGGUCCGUAGGCGGUUUAAUAAGUCAGUGGUGAAAGCCCAUCGCUCAACGGUGGAACGGCCAUUGAUACUGUUAGACUUGAAUUAUUAGGAAGUAACUAGAAUAUGUAGUGUAGCGGUGAAAUGCUUAGAGAUUACAUGGAAUACCAAUUGCGAAGGCAGGUUACUACUAAUUGAUUGACGCUGAUGGACGAAAGCGUGGGUAGCGAACAGGAUUAGAUACCCGUG